RNAcentral lists this ribosomal RNA (450 nucleotides) under uncultured soil bacterium. RNAcentral's name for it is "bacterial SSU rRNA". It matches the Rfam family "Bacterial small subunit ribosomal RNA", at positions 26 to 456 of the family's 1533-position model. The record is from RNAcentral.
AGAUUGAACGCUGGUGGCGUGCCUAACACAUGCAAGUCGAGCGGUAACAGGCGUAGCAAUACGUGCUGACGAGCGGCGAACGGGUGAGCAAUGCUUCGGAAUCUGCCCAAUGAUGGGGAAUAACCAGUCGAAAGAUUGGCUAAUACCGCAUACGCCCUACGGGGGAAAGCGGGGGUCGCAAGACCUCGCGUCGAUGGAUGAGCCGAAGUCGGAUUAGCUAGUUGGUAGGGUAACGGCCUACCAAGGCGACGAUCCGUAGCUGGUCUGAGAGGACGACCAGCCACACUGGGACUGAGACACGGCCCAGACUACCUACGGGAGGGCAGGCAGGUGGGGGAAUAGUUGGGAACAAGUGGGGGGCAACCCGUGGAUCCAGCCGACGCCGCGUGUGGUAGGAAGAAGGCCGUGGUCGGGUUAGUAAAGCUACGUUUUAGGUAGGGUAGUAGAAAA